RNAcentral lists this ribosomal RNA (441 nucleotides) under uncultured bacterium. Its description in RNAcentral is "partial 16S ribosomal RNA". It matches the Rfam family "Bacterial small subunit ribosomal RNA", at positions 338 to 795 of the family's 1533-position model. The record is from RNAcentral.
CCUACGGGAGGCAGCAGUGGGGAAUAUUGCACAAUGGGGGAAACCCUGAUGCAGCGACGCCGCGUGAGCGAGGAAGUAUUUCGGUAUGUAAAGCUCUAUCAGCAGGGACGAAAAAAGACGGUACCUGACUAAGAAGCCCCGGCUAACUACGUGCCAGCAGCCGCGGUAAUACGUAGGGGGCAAGCGUUAUCCGGAUUUACUGGGUGUAAAGGGAGCGUAGACGGCAAGGCAAGCCAGAAGUGAAAGGGCAGGGCUCAACCCUGUACAUGCUUUUGGAACUGUGCAGCUGGAGUGCAGGAGAGGUAAGCGGAAUUCCUAGUGUAGCGGUGAAAUGCGUAGAUAUUAGGAGGAACACCAGUGGCGAAGGCGGCUUACUGGACUGUAACUGACGUUGAGGCUCGAAAGCGUGGGGAGCAAACAGGAUUAGAUACCCCGGUAGUC